CCCCAUAGGUUAGCUCAGUUGGUUAGAGUGUGGUGCUGAUAACACCAAGGUCACAGAUUUGAUCUCCGUAUGGGUG
This is a non-coding RNA of Podarcis lilfordi (Lilford's wall lizard), 76 nucleotides long. The record is from the annotation of a GenBank genome assembly. NCBI's taxonomy places the organism in Eukaryota, Metazoa, Chordata, Lepidosauria, Squamata, Lacertidae.